UUGACCUCGGAUCAGGUAGGGAUACCCGCUGAACUUAAGCAUAUCAAUAAGCGGAGGAAGGAA
This 63-nucleotide ribosomal RNA is filed under the name Aspergillus flavus. RNAcentral's name for it is "partial 28S ribosomal RNA". It matches the Rfam family "Eukaryotic large subunit ribosomal RNA", at positions 1 to 63 of the family's 3401-position model. Lineage: Eukaryota; Fungi; Ascomycota; Eurotiomycetes; Eurotiales; Aspergillaceae. The record is from RNAcentral.